RNAcentral lists this ribosomal RNA (668 nucleotides) under Pseudomonas sp. RNAcentral describes it as "bacterial SSU rRNA". It matches the Rfam family "Bacterial small subunit ribosomal RNA", at positions 91 to 755 of the family's 1533-position model. The record is from RNAcentral. Lineage: Bacteria; Pseudomonadati; Pseudomonadota; Gammaproteobacteria; Pseudomonadales; Pseudomonadaceae.
GAGAGCGGCGGACGGGUGAGUAAUGCCUAGGAAUCUGCCUGGUAGUGGGGGAUAACGCUCGGAAACGGACGCUAAUACCGCAUACGUCCUACGGGAGAAAGCAGGGGACCUUCGGGCCUUGCGCUAUCAGAUGAGCCUAGGUCGGAUUAGCUAGUUGGUGGGGUAAUGGCUCACCAAGGCGACGAUCCGUAACUGGUCUGAGAGGAUGAUCAGUCACACUGGAACUGAGACACGGUCCAGACUCCUACGGGAGGCAGCAGUGGGGAAUAUUGGACAAUGGGCGAAAGCCUGAUCCAGCCAUGCCGCGUGUGUGAAGAAGGUCUUCGGAUUGUAAAGCACUUUAAGUUGGGAGGAAGGGCAUUAACCUAAUACGUUAGUGUUUUGACGUUACCGACAGAAUAAGCACCGGCUAACUCUGUGCCAGCAGCCGCGGUAAUACAGAGGGUGCAAGCGUUAAUCGGAAUUACUGGGCGUAAAGCGCGCGUAGGUGGUUUGUUAAGUUGGAUGUGAAAGCCCCGGGCUCAACCUGGGAACUGCAUUCAAAACUGACAAGCUAGAGUAUGGUAGAGGGUGGUGGAAUUUCCUGUGUAGCGGUGAAAUGCGUAGAUAUAGGAAGGAACACCAGUGGCGAAGGCGACCACCUGGACUGAUACUGACACUGAGGUGCG